This 253-nucleotide ribosomal RNA is filed under the name uncultured bacterium. RNAcentral describes it as "partial 16S ribosomal RNA". It matches the Rfam family "Bacterial small subunit ribosomal RNA", at positions 524 to 776 of the family's 1533-position model. The record is from RNAcentral.
UACGUAGGGGCCGAGCGUUGUCCGGAGUUAUUGGGCGUAAAGCGCGCGCAGGCGGCUUGGCGCGCCCGACGUGAAAGCCCCCGGCUUAACCGGGGAGAGUCGUCGGGGACGGCCGGGCUUGAGGGCGGGAGAGGGUGGUGGAAUUCCCGGUGUAGUGGUGAAAUGCGUAGAGAUCGGGAGGAACACCUGUGGCGAAGGCGGCCACCUGGGCCGACCCUGACGCUGAGGCGCGAAAGCUAGGGGAGCAAACGGG